CGCGAAGAACCUUACCAGGUCUUGACAUCCUUUGACCACUCUAGAGAUAGAGCUUCCCCUUCGGGGGCAAAGUGACAGGUGGUGCAUGGUUGUCGUCAGCUCGUGUCGUGAGAUGUUGGGUUAAGUCCCGCAACGAGCGCAACCCUUAUUGUUAGUUGCCAUCAUUUAGUUGGGCACUCUAGCGAGACUGCCGGUGACAAACCGGAGGAAGGUGGGGAUGACGUCAAAUCAUCAUGCCCCUUAUGACCUGGGCUACACACGUGCUACAAUGGGAAGUACAACGAGUUGCGAAGUCGCGAGGCUAAGCUAAUCUCUUAAAGCUUCUCUCAGUUCGGAUUGUAGGCUGCAACUCGCCUACAUGAAGCCGGAAUCGCUAGUAAUCGCGGAUCAGCACGCCGCGGUGAAUACGUUCCCGGGUCUUGUACACACC
RNAcentral lists this ribosomal RNA (430 nucleotides) under uncultured bacterium. RNAcentral's name for it is "bacterial SSU rRNA". It matches the Rfam family "Bacterial small subunit ribosomal RNA", at positions 960 to 1391 of the family's 1533-position model. The record is from RNAcentral.